RNAcentral lists this long non-coding RNA (176 nucleotides) under Chrysolophus pictus (golden pheasant). Its description in RNAcentral is "lncRNA (ENSCPIG00010000103.1)". Lineage: Eukaryota; Metazoa; Chordata; Aves; Galliformes; Phasianidae. The record is from RNAcentral.
CCUCAGCAUGAGAAGUUUGCUGAUUUUCUCAGUUGUGUUGCCUGUGUUUUUUCUCUAAGCUUCAUGUUGCGAGUGAAAGCUGGAAACAGUCCUGCAUUGUUUUUCAUCCGUUUGCAACAAAAUUAUCAGGAUGAACAGAAGUAAUACUUGGGACUGUCAGCCAUUUUGUUAAAUGC